Non-coding RNA from Pelobates cultripes (western spadefoot toad), 229 nucleotides. Lineage: Eukaryota; Metazoa; Chordata; Amphibia; Anura; Pelobatidae. The record is from the annotation of a GenBank genome assembly.
GCAAGGGUGAUUCGUAUCCUGUUUCAAGACUAUUAGCGUGUAGCUCCCUGCCGAGUGGGGGAUGUCAGGAUGAUGUUCAUGCCCUGUAGGUUCAGACCUAAGGUCUUCACUGUCAGUGGUGUUAUCCUCUGCUAUUCUGGCUUGGGUAGUGGUUGUUUAUUCUAUCUUGGCCGUGUCUGCCAUCUGACUCCUAUCCUUUCGUGGGUGCAGUGUUGGUCCUGCUUCUCCC